GCAAAGGGACAUCCAAGGACCCCCACAGAGCAUGGCCCCAAGCAUUGCAUGGCCACAAAUCCUGCCCCUUUUCCCCUGCACGCAGUGCUGCAUUGGAUCCACUGCAUUUGGGGCCCUCUGUGGCUAAAGGGGCAGGAUUUGUCCACAAAAAUAGGCAAAUCUCCAUUAGCAGUAUAGAGCUAUGACACAUCAUUUAACAGUUCUGAUUCCAUCUACUUGAGAACUCUUCUGUCAUUGACACGAUCUUCCCAGAGAUGCCAAGUCACUUCAUCAGAUAUGACAAACUUGCUUGAUGCACUGAAUCAAAGGCUGAUGGAAGUCUAUAAAAAGUGCUGCUCAUAGCUUAUGAAAUGCAGCCAUCUUCCUCUCAAAAAGCUGUCUUAAGGUAAAGAUCUGGUUGACAGUGGAAUGGCCAGGUCUAAAGUUGCCCUGAGUAUCCUGGCCUUUGCCAUGAAGGGCAUUGUUUAUUCAGGACAUUGACAUGGAAACAAAGACUUUCCCUGGGAUUGACAACAGUGUAAUACUUAUUGCCCUUUUUGAACAGAGGCAGAAUAACAACCUUCUUCCAGUCAUCGGGGAUGGUAUUAGUACAGCAGAUGGUCUAGAAGCCCUAUAGCCAUGGCACUACAAAUACUCUCGCCAGUUUUCAGCAUGUCAGGGGUAAUGUUACAAACUCCUUUUGCCUUCCCAGACUUCAGCUUAUGGACUGUGAUGCACAUCUCUUCUUGGCUGAAGGAAGGUGGCUGUACUGGAACUUCCAGCCCCUCUGAAAUGGAAGAGGGACUGCAGGGAAUGAGCAUCUGUUGAGGAGCAUUUUGAAAUGAUUGUCUC
This is a long non-coding RNA of Chelonia mydas (Green sea turtle), 831 nucleotides long. RefSeq lists it as uncharacterized. The record is from RefSeq and is a predicted model, not a curated record. Lineage: Eukaryota; Metazoa; Chordata; Testudines; Cheloniidae. The transcript has 3 exons.